AUUGAACGCUGGCGGCAUGCCUUACACAUGCAAGUCGAACGGCAGCACGGGUGCUUGCCCCUGGUGGCGAGUGGCGAACGGGUGAGUAAUACAUCGGAACAUGUCCUGUAGUGGGGGAUAGCCCGGCGAAAGCCGGAUUAAUACCGCAUACGAUCUACGGAUGAAAGCGGGGGACCUUCGGGCCUCGCGCUAUAGGGUUGGCCGAUGGCUGAUUAGCUAGUUGGUGGGGUAAAGGCCUACCAAGGCGACGAUCAGUAGCUGGUCUGAGAGGACGACCAGCCCCACUGGGCCUGGGGCCCGGCCCGGCUCCCUCCGGGGGGCAGCAGGGGGGAUUUUUGGACAAUGGGCGAAAGCCUGAUCCAGCAAUGCCGCGUGUGUGAAGAAGGCCUUCGGGUUGUAAAGCACUUUUGUCCGGAAAGAAAUCCUUGGCCCUAAUACGGUCGGGGGAUGACGGUACCGGAAGAAUAAGCACCGGCUAACUACGU
Molecule: ribosomal RNA, 485 nt
Filed under: uncultured bacterium
Lineage: Bacteria
Description: partial 16S ribosomal RNA
Rfam family: Bacterial small subunit ribosomal RNA
Source: RNAcentral